UACAGAGACUGCAAGCGUUAUUCGGAUUCACUGGGCGUACAGGGUGCGCAGGCGGCCAAGUGUGUGAGGCGUGAAAGCCCGGGGCUUAACCCCGGAAUUGCACCUCAAACUACAUGGCUAGAGCAUUGGAGAGGGUAGCAGAAUUCAUGGUGUAGCAGUGAAAUGCGUGGAUAUCAUGAGGAAUACCAGAGGCGAAGGCGGCUACCUGGACAAUUGCUGACGCUCAGGCACGAAAGCGUGGGGAGCAAAAGGG
This 253-nucleotide ribosomal RNA is filed under the name uncultured bacterium. RNAcentral describes it as "partial 16S ribosomal RNA". It matches the Rfam family "Bacterial small subunit ribosomal RNA", at positions 524 to 776 of the family's 1533-position model. The record is from RNAcentral.